RNAcentral lists this small nucleolar RNA (78 nucleotides) under Cutaneotrichosporon oleaginosum. RNAcentral describes it as "Trichosporon oleaginosus Small nucleolar RNA snR60/Z15/Z230/Z193/J17". It matches the Rfam family "Small nucleolar RNA snR60/Z15/Z230/Z193/J17". Rfam says of the family: The members of this family belong to the C/D class of snoRNAs which contain the C (UGAUGA) and D (CUGA) box motifs. Most of the members of the box C/D family function in directing site-specific 2'-O-methylation of substrate RNAs. The record is from Rfam by way of RNAcentral. Lineage: Eukaryota; Fungi; Basidiomycota; Tremellomycetes; Trichosporonales; Trichosporonaceae.
CUCGUGAUGAUACAAUGCAUAGUUCAAUCAGAACCCCAUGAUCGACACAUAUCCAUCUAGUCUUUCGCUCCUAUCUGA